UAUAUAGUUUUCUAGGGUUCCGCAGUUUAUAUUUGGUCAGGUCUAAAAGAAAACACAAUUAAUUGUGUACACGGAAGGAUAAAAGCCUGGGAGAU
Molecule: small RNA, 95 nt
Filed under: Clostridiales bacterium oral taxon 876 str. F0540
Lineage: Bacteria; Bacillati; Bacillota; Clostridia; Eubacteriales
Also listed under: 1 other name
Description: Guanidine-I riboswitch aptamer
Rfam family: Guanidine-I riboswitch aptamer
About the family: This family represents a conserved RNA structure found upstream of the ykkC and yxkD genes in Bacillus subtilis and related genes in other bacteria. The function of this family is unclear although it has been suggested that it may function to switch on efflux pumps and detoxification systems in response to harmful environmental molecules. Nelson showed that this riboswitch senses and responds to guanidine and it was renamed Guanidine-I riboswitch.
Source: Rfam by way of RNAcentral